Molecule: transfer RNA, 76 nt
Filed under: Gloeomargarita lithophora Alchichica-D10
Lineage: Bacteria; Bacillati; Cyanobacteriota; Cyanophyceae; Gloeomargaritales; Gloeomargaritaceae
Also listed under: 6 other names
Description: tRNA-Ala
Rfam family: tRNA
About the family: Transfer RNA (tRNA) molecules are approximately 80 nucleotides in length. Their secondary structure includes four short double-helical elements and three loops (D, anti-codon, and T loops).
Source: RNAcentral
GGGGGUAUGGCUCAGUUGGUAGAGCGCCUGCUUUGCACGCAGGAUGUCAGCGGUUCGAGUCCGCUUACCUCCACCA